GUCACUUUUUGAAGAAUAGGCAUGACCUUCUUGGGAAUCAAUUUCACACUGUUCUACAACAGCACAAUGGCUGCAGUAUUCAUGAAGUUCUCGAGAAAGUUCAUCGUUGGUAGCUUCAAGCCAAGCAAUCCUUUCCUUCAGCACCUGGACUUCAUCUGAUGGAGCUCCUCCCCCCCUAGCACAAAGUUCUGCCUGUAGGUAUUUUAGCUGUCGGCGCAUCUGUUGCACCUCAUUGGACAUUAAGUCUCUAUUAACUACAGGCUUAUUCUGAAUGUUUCGAGCACGAUUUGCAUAUUUGAGAGUGUUGAGAGUUUCCUCAGCAUUGAUGUCAGCAGGACUGAUGCAAGCGAUCAUAAAAGUCUUGCUGUUUCCACCUAGUGAAUCCUGCAAGAGUCGAGUCAGUUUACUGUCUCGGUAGGGAACAUGCACUCCUUCUUUUCGCUUUUUGUCAUCCCCAAGUGCACUUAUGACGUUACCAAGUGCCAGAAGCCCCCUAUUAAUGUGAAUACCUUCUUUCAAACGAAGACCAUCAGAACCAGUUCUUUUUGCUCGUUCAGAUCCAGCUAGAUCUACCAAAUGGAACUUAGCACAGAUAUACUCUUCACCCGUAUCCUCAUCUGGAGUGUCAUUAACAGGAGAAACUGAAUGCAGAUUGCACAUCUGUUCUAAUGUGAUCGUGAAAAUUGCAUGCGACCGACUGGACUGGUUGUUCAUAUUUGUACUUCCUGUUGCCCUACUUAAUGAUCCUUGCUCCAGGCAAGCAGCCAUUUCCUCUAAUGUACUAACAGGUACUUCAGUUGAUCCUGCUAGUGUAAUAACUCCAUUUGACGAUUCACGGAUUUGUAUUGAUGGCCUCCCAGGGAUAGCAACUUUCCCAUGUCCAUUAGCAGCAAUUGAUUUGCUCACAGAUACAGUAUCCAGCAAGUCUCUCACUUCUUCUUUUAGAAUCUCUAUGAAGGACACAUGCAACUGGAAUUCUGUUUGAUGCUUUAAUGUCUCAACCUUAUUGAAUAGAGCAUUCAUAACUUGUGGAAUCAAUCCAGUCUGGCUACCAUCUUUGAAGCUAGUACCCAUCGUAUACGUUUUCCCUGAUCCUGUCUGACCAUAUGCAAGUACAGUGGCAUUGUAUCCCUGGAACAACCCAUCAACAAGUGGAGCAACGCAUUCUUCAAACAUGCUGGAUGAUGGAGAACCUCCAUUUCCAUAGACACGGUCAAAUGUAAAAGAAUGUGUACCGAUUUGUACCUGUGGCUUCCCAGGCGUAACAGUGACACAUUCUUUGCAACCUUGAACUCGUUCAUGGCCGAUAAGCGGACGAAUAUGAACUGCAACCUUAACACUACAAUUCUCCGACGCCUCCAUGAUUACAAAAUAUGAAGAAAAAGAAAAAUAACAGAAAGAAACGGAGAAUUAAGUGAGGAUUAAUUUCUGAGUAUCCAAUCAAAUCAGAUUGGAUUAAGAACGAGAAAAUGAUGCUGCAACAAGAGAGAGAAAGCGAAGGUGGUUUAGAAAGAGAGAAAGAAGGUUGGUAGUAAAUGAAAUUGGGGGGGAAUCGGAGGGGUUUGAAAAGUGGAGGCACCAGAAGGUAGGCUAGAGGAGGUAACUGCAACCUUUAGCUUAGCUUCAAUCAAUCACACUUCACACUUCACACUAUCAUUUUCCUGGUGGUUCACUGCUCUUCCUCCUUCUCCUGCGAGCAGCGAGUGUGUGUUAAAGUAUGGUAUAGAACACUGACCAAACCAAAAAGCCAUUUCCGUUGAUGAUGCGG
Molecule: unclassified non-coding RNA, 1768 nt
Filed under: Hevea brasiliensis (rubber tree)
Lineage: Eukaryota; Viridiplantae; Streptophyta; Magnoliopsida; Malpighiales; Euphorbiaceae
Source: RNAcentral